Molecule: ribosomal RNA, 492 nt
Filed under: uncultured bacterium
Lineage: Bacteria
Description: partial 16S ribosomal RNA
Rfam family: Bacterial small subunit ribosomal RNA
Source: RNAcentral
AGUGAACGCUGGCGGUAGGCCUAACACAUGCAAGUCGAACGGCAGCACAGUAAGAGCUUGCUCUUACGGGUGGCGAGUGGCGGACGGGUGAGGAAUACAUCGGAAUCUACUUUUUCGUGGGGGAUAACGUGGGGAAACUUACGCUAAUACCGCAUACGACCUACGGGUGAAAGCAGGGGAUCUUCGGACCUUGCGCGAUUGAAUGAGCCGAUGUCGGAUUAGCUAGUUGGCGGGGUAAAGGCCCACCAAGGCGACGAUCCGUAGCUGGUCUGAGAGGAUGAUCAGCCACACUGGAACUGAGACACGGUCCAGACUCCUACGGGAGGCAGCAGUGGGGAAUAUUGGACAAUGGGCGCAUGCCUGAUCCAGCCAUACCGCGUGGGUGAAGAAGGCCUUCGGGUUGUAAAGCCCUUUUGUUGGGAAAGAAAAGCAGCAGGUUAAUACCCCGCUGUUCUGACGGUACCCAAAGAAUAAGCACCGGCUAACUUCGUG